UUGUUCCUUGGUAUGCCUGUAUGGGUAGUCCAUUGUGCUCCAAAAGCUGCAAGAAAAUUUUUUUAAUUUAAAUUAAAUAAAUUUCUUUCCCUCAAUAAUAUAUUUUUUUAUUUGGUGAAAAUGCCCGCUUCUUACGGCUAAACGUGAACUACAUAUUUUGAAAAUCUUCUUGAUCAUUACGCGAAGACUUUGCUAUUUUCUCGUUGUUGUAGUUUUUGGUGUUGUAGGGGCGGGGCCUCAACAAUUUGAUUUUAUGAAUGACACGCGUCACCAUUUGACAGUUUUCUAAUUACGCUUGUGACCUAUGAUAUUUAAUUUUUGUGUAGUGUGUAGUGCUCUCCACUAUGAAGCUGUUAGAACUCUACCUUGAAUUGGUUGAAAAAGAGUCACGCCGUGUUUCGUCAGCAUGGAAAAAUUGCCAAAUAACUUUGUACGUGGCCAGUAUCGUAGCCAGCUUCAUAGCGUACAUUUGUUUCACGAAUGCACUGAACGGCUUCAACGGCAAUUGUAUGCUCUUUAGUGACGUGAGCUUUGUGUCGGGACCACUAAAUUGCAGCCAGCCUGAGGUGAACCCGUUUGACGCGGCGCGUACAGAAUGGGGCGACAUCGGCGUGUGCAUGUUUGUGCAAUACGUGCCCGUGUUCUCGGUGAUCUUCUCCUUCCCUUGGGCCGUGCUGUUCACGAUGUGCGGCACGGGCGGCAAGACCGCUAAGGGCUUGCCGCAGCCGUGGAGGAUCGUGUACCCGGCCUUGGUGUUUAACAUCGUGUUCUUCUUCAUCGCCAUGGCCUCCGCUGUGAUGCUGGACAAGGGCUAUGACACUUUCUGCCACUCGUUCACCAGCAACAUGAAUGAAACAAGCUGUAGAGAUGUUGACAAGUACUGCUUCAGCUCUCAGCACGUUCUGAGAAUAACUUACGCAGAGGCAGCUUCCUGGUGCUCGAUGGUCGUGUGGCUGCUGGCGGCUCUGCUGCUGGUGCUGCGCUGCAUCUUCGUUGCCGACUUCGACGUGAUCAAAGUGACCAUCCAGACUCCGGAGCCGGACCACGACUGGAGCAGCUCCCGGGAGCGGGACGACUGGACCAACCCACGGGAGUCGGACCACGAGCAAGACACGCAGCAGGUGUGAAUACUUCACACUGGAUGAUUAAUGAAUUAGGAGCUGCAAGGAGUGAGCUGGCAGCCACUUGACUCCAUGCACAGCAGAAAAUGAACAUGAACUGAGUUUGGCCUGUUCAUCUCCCAUCGCCAUAUUGCAACCACUACAAACAAAUAACGGUGAGCGACUCGUCGAGUAAGGAAACAAUCAACCAGGAGGUUGACCUGUAACAGUUCUGCAGGAAAGGCAACACCUACCUCCCAAGUCUCGACAAAAGCUGAACCUCGCUUGCUAUCCCUCCUACGUUACUCCGCUUGCCGCUUUGCACGAUGUUGGUGCCGGAAAUCUAACGCUUGUGGUCUGCAGGAUAAUCACUCCCAAAGAAGUUGUGGAGGUUUUUUUAUGUAUAGUUUUCUGAAACAUUGACUUUUUAUAGCUUUACAUUAACAAACGUACAAAGUCUUUCGACGUAUUUGCUUUCAUUAGGAGUAUGAUUUUUGAUACUUGUUUUAAUCAAGCUGCAAAGUGAUAUUUUAAUAGACACUCUUAAAAACAAUUUGCUACAUUGGUUUGAUGAUUGUGUCUUUGAGAUAUUUCGUGAACUCCUCGAAAAAGUUUUGUUUGAUUUAUGUUUAAUAAUGAUUAUGAAUUGUGGGUAGCAGUACAGUUACUGGCCUUAGCCAUCACAUCAUGUGAUAGAAUGGGUCUGCAUUUAGCAAACAUUAAGCAAUGCAGUAACCAUGGAAAAACACAAAACAUGCUGCUAAAUGUAGACUGUAAACUGAGUGAGAAAAGAGCCAUUUUUAAAUAUUAAGAAUUGUAUGUGCUAGCAAAAGAUAUUGCAAUUUGAUAGAGCAUAUUAAUGCUAUUUUAGUAAUUUCUAUAGAGUAGUUUGAUGGCAAGAAAUCAGGCCUGUGUAGUGUCUCAGAGAGUUGUUUCCAGUUGUGAUUUCCACUUUAAAUUUAACCUAUUAAGCCUUAAAAAUUAACUAAAGUAUGCCACAAGUAACAAAAAGUUUGCUACUUGUUAUGCAACAUACAUAUUUUGUAACCAGAUGUUUUAUUCAGUAUUUUAAGGUUCACAGUAAUUUUUUUUUUUUGCUUUAAGCUGUGACUUCAUGGUUGAUUCUCUUGUGCUAAAGUCCUUCUAAGUGAUAUUGGAAAUAAUAGUGGCUGCUUGUUUAAAAUAUGUCUGAUGUACGUGCAUGUUAUGUCAGCUCAUUUUGAAAAUAUACAAUUUCAAAAAUGUAUCUGCCAGGGCAAAAUAAGGAAUUUUGAUUGCACUAUGGGGAGUAAAUUUAAGUUGAAGUAGAUUUUCAUGGAAAUUACUAACUUUGUUAGGUGAAAUGUGCCUUUAAAUCACGUACUGUUCACCCAAAACUUAACUGUGUGUUGGCCUAUUAAAACACGUUUUGUAUUUAUACUUCCUGAAUUUCUUGAUUAGUAAACACAUGCUAGUAAAUGUUAGAAAAAAAUGUGAUAGUAUAACCUUUGUGUACACUAUUUGUUAGACACACCUUAAUUAGUGCUCAUGCUCCUCGAAAUUUGCUCUCUAAUGGUAUGAGGACUACUCAACAAUGUGUUAAACUAUGUAGUAUAGAUAGCUUGGUUUUGCUCAAAUUGAUUCAUGCUGGUGCUCAUGUAGUGAUAAUGCAAACAUUAUAUCCACAGCUAGCUGUAGACUUAAGUCUGUACACAACCAAGAUGAUGUACCUUAUAAACACCUUGCCUUUUAAUUGGUUUUAUAUUUUAAGGCUUUUUCAGUAACAUUUGUAUGUAUUUAAAAAUGACAUAUUACUUUUAUAGUAUUUUAUUUAAUAAGCACUGUUGUAUUACUGUAACAGAUCUCAGAAUAUUAUGCAAUUUGUCUUUAGACUAGCUAUUAUUAUUUUUUUAAGUUUAGAGUUUGUUGUUUUACACUUCCUUAAUAGUAUAAAUUCCUUUCUGUUUAGUGUAGAAAUUAAAAUGCAAUUUACUUUUAAGUUUUAAACUGUAGAGUUUGUGAACUGACUAUAAUUAGUGAUAGUGAAUAUAGAUUAUAGAUUUAUGCAUAGUGUGUGCACAAGUUUAGCUGAUACAUGUAACAUUUUAAGAAAAUAAUUUAAUACUUCCACAUUCCUGUUUAUAGUCUACAGUAAGACACAUUUAUUCAAAAUGCUUGGGGGUAUAAUUUUGGACAUGUAAUAUGCUUUUUUGCAUCUCACAGUCCAGUUAACUUGAGAAUGUUAAUAUGCAACCACAUACAGUAGAAUCCCGCUGAUGCGACCCCUCACGGUUUCCCGAAAAACGGACUUAUAAACGGAAUGGUCGCAAUAGAGAAUUCGGGCCUAUUUUAACCCCCCCCCCUCCCCCAAUAUAUACAAAUACAUAAAAAAAAACUCACGCUAAAUGAAUUCACGUCACGCGAGUUCGGCUAUGCUAGCCGGCUGGUUGUUAUUUUCGUUCAAAACGUGGCGAAGGAACUUGUGUGGAUCAGGUAGAAAACAUUUGUCUAUAAACGAAAGAUAUAAGAACAAUGCUAUCCUGAAAUGCUGUAACAUUUUUUUGGAGUAGAUAAUCACAGCGACAGACUGACAGGAUGUGCUCCCUCCCUUGCGGUCAGCGAUGUUGAUUUUGACAGCUCAAGCAAUUAUCUUUUCCACGUCCCUUCGCAGCGUAAAAAGAAAAAAAAAAGAAGAAAAAACACGUUGGAAGGACCGACGAGUUUCUUAAGCUCUCGCAGAAGCUACCACAGCGGCUUUUGGCGGGUAAGAUAACAUAACAGCUGAGACGGCUUUUCGUGCGAUAGUGGACGCACCGAGCUUGGCUAGACACUGCCGCGUGGACGGUCUAGAGGGGUGGUAUAUAUUUUUAGCCAUCUUUUGUAUGCCUGCCUGCUUAGAGUAAAGCUCCCGCCAAGAUAAAAGUGAACACAUAGCACCCAACAAAGUUUAACACUUGUUUUUCAGCCAAUUUUACUCAAAUUUUUGACUUUCUCUGCUUAAAUUUUCCACGGUUCCUCAAAAAACGGUCGUAUAAACGGAAUGGACGCAUCAGAGGGGGGUCGCAUCGGCGGGAUUCUACUGUACCUUGAAUUUCUAUCAGUGGUAACUAACUGAAUAAAAUUUUUAAUUAACUCAAUUGAAUGACGAAACUAUGCAUUUUUUAAUGCAUAAAUAAAAAUAUGUGACUAGGCAACUAGAAUAAGUUCACUUAGCAGAUACUCUUGGUUGUUAUAUUAAUCUCUGCUUGCAAAGUAAACUUAUAUAAUGUGUAAAUUUACUGUGUUUGUUAGGGAAAGUUUACAAAACAGCACACGCACAUUUUCCACGGGCUCCCCUAAAUCACUCAGCCGGCAACGACACUCCGCAGUAAAAAAGAAAUUGACAGCCGCCUGAAUUCUGGACAGUGAGCUUUGUCUCAUUUUAGAGCUUCGGUGUGUUAGCAUUAAUAAUUUUCAGCAGGAAAAUGCCUGUGAAUUAAAAUAGUUUUGUUUUAAUGCUACAGCAAUUCAAAACAAUAAACUGAGUGGGAAAAAAGUGUCAUAAAACUACUCAGUUGUUGUUUAAAGUGGAGGGCAUGUGUGACAGACAAGCCCAUUUAUUUGUCAUGAUUUUACACAAAUUAAUUUCAAGUAGUAUCUUCCUGUCACACCAAUACAAUAUAUUAGAUAAAUUUCAGGUUUACCAAUCACUUUGUUAUAUUGACAUAAUCUCUUGCAAGUAUUCGUAAUAUUGACAGUGUGGGUUUGAGUUUCUCUAAAGUUAUUUUUUACCCUCUCACAUGAUAUUCAAGAAAGCCAGAAUGUAAGAAUUGUACUGGAUUGGGGCGGGCUACCAAAUGUUGAAGGAAUGGCUGGCAGGAGCACUAAUUGGGAGUGCAAGCAUCGGUGGAUAGGCCGGGACAACUCUGUAGGAGGGGGAGAGAUGUAUGCCGCACCCUCGGGGACCUCUGUUAUUGUUAGGUACUGAAAAAAAAAAUACUUGUGACAUAGAUUUUAGAAAAUUUACAAAUUCCAGGUUAUAAUAUUGAGCACCAUAAAUUUGUGUUCCCAAAUGUUCACCACUGAUUACGAAAUAAACAUUCGUACUCUUGAUGAUGUGGAGUCGAGCAAACGCAAUCAGUGAGGGGUCGAGGGGUGCAAGGUUGUGUUGAUUGAAGGGAGGGAGUUGCUGUACCAGACGUGUAGUCGCUGGGCUGUCACCAAGUGACCGACCUACUGCCAGGUCGCUGUAGGCAUUGUGCAUUGUAAAUUGAAUUACCGUAUUUACUCGUGUAUAACGCGCCCUCGUGUAUAGCGCGCACCACGAUUUUUGCAACAAAUUCCAAAGAAAUUUUUUUUUUUUUUUCCCAUAAAUAAAUUGUACUAACAUUUUGUGGUACCUGUACGUGUGAAACAAAUGAUAAUUUAAAUUGAUGUGUGGUGAUGCGUCAGGAAAAUACUUAAACUCUGCUGUGUAGACGGAAGAUAAUGAAGCGCUGUAUCGUCACAACUGGUACAUGGGCGGGAGGAAGGGAGGCAGGCAGGAAUGUGACACGGAGGACUAGAUGACUCACCGGUAGCAGCUGCGACAUAGAGAAGGAAGUGGGAGGGGGGACUGGUGUCAACAUUCUCUCUCUCUCUUUUAUUUUACUAGCUGUAGAGGGGGAGGUCUAAAAAUAAACAAGAGACCUGCGAGCUUGCGCGCGCACGUGUGUGUGUGUGUGAGAGAGAGAGAGAGAGAGAGAGAGAGACCAGGUUGUGUGCGUGUGUGUGUGUGAAAGAGAGGCCUUGUUGCUUGUGCGUAUGUGUGGGGGGCUGGCCAGAAACGUCACCCGUCACCCGGCAAUUAACGACUUCCACUCCUCCCCGCCUCAUCUACUCACUUUUUUUUUCCGUGUAUAGCGCGCAUCCUUAUUUUUUUCCUUUACUUGAGGGGAAAAAAGGGCGCGCUAUACACGAGUAUAUACGGUAUACUGACACACUAACAAACAAGCCAAACAUAAAAUAAUUGUUUAAAAGAAAAUUGUUUUAAUAUAUAAUUUUAAAAAUUUUGAAUUUAAGGUUUUAUUUUUUAGAGUAAAUAGAAUUAUCCGAGUUUGAAUUAAUGAGGUUUUAUUUACUGUAUGUACAUCAGAUUUCUGUGGGUAAUUUUUAGUGCUUUUUUUUAUAUAUAUUUUUUUUAUUUCUGUUGUAGUGCAGCUUGUAAUCUAAGCUUGCUGUGUGUGAAAGUGUUAAAUUAUCUUCCCUCCAUUUUUAUUAUUAUUUUCUUGCCUGUAUUUUUUUUCUUGUGGAAACUUGUAUUUUUCCUGUGCUAGGGCACAGUUAAUAAUCUGAUGUUCAUCCAGUCAACACAUCCUAACAUUAUGGUUCUUCAAGCAACUUUUAUUGUUGUGUUUCAAAUCAUUUUAAAAUUGCUCACGGUUUGCUCAUCACUGUGACACAACACAUAUUUCUGCUCAAGACUUGAUGUGAUCACAUCAAUGGUUUGUGAAUUGUGAUUAUAUGUAAGAUUUUGUGUGCUCAAUUUACAUUUCACUGCUCAAUAAAGAUUGUGUUGGAAAGUCUAA
Molecule: RNA transcript, 6625 nt
Organism: Bacillus rossius redtenbacheri
Lineage: Eukaryota; Metazoa; Arthropoda; Insecta; Phasmatodea; Bacillidae
Gene name: transmembrane protein 179B
Exons: 6
Source: RefSeq, a predicted model, not a curated record